This 1388-nucleotide long non-coding RNA is filed under the name Mus musculus (house mouse). RNAcentral describes it as "long non-coding RNA chr10:128489199-128490587". The record is from RNAcentral. Lineage: Eukaryota; Metazoa; Chordata; Mammalia; Rodentia; Muridae.
GAGAGAAUAGGAGGGAAAGAUGUUUAUACGAGGUUCUACUAACUGGUUCUGAGGGUCUACCCCUUCAGAAUUACUGCAUUUUUGAAGUGAUAACAUGAAAAUGAAACCCUUUAAAAGGGAGGUUUUAAAAAAAGACACUUCGGAGCCCACAAAAAAAGAACUUUUUUAAUUAUUAUUAUUAUUAUUUUGAGGGGAAAGGGCAGGUUUUAAGAGGAAUUAAAUUUCUGGGGCAAGGUGUGAGGUGGAAUAGGGCACCGAGCCUGUCUCCCUGAGCCCUUGGCAGUGCUGAGUCAGCUCCCCUCACCCAUUCCAGUUUAUUCAUACAAAUCCCUCCUGCUGCUCGUCAUGGUUGCUGUUUUAGGCCCAGUUCAGCCAAUGACCUUUUCCUCCAGUCAGCUUUGUGUUUGUGUUUAAGUCACCUGCUUACUCGUCAGCGUCUGUGUACUUGUGGGAAAUGUAGUUUUCGGGGAUUCUGUGGUAGGAAAUAGAGGAAGAAGGGGCCUCAGUUGGGCUCUUCUUCCUGCUUUCCUAGUUGUAUCUGUGAGUGCCCAACAGGCAUCAGAGGGGGAGCUCUAAGAGGAUGGGGGGCCUGCAGACCCUCAAGUUUGAAAAGCACUUAAGCACCUACUUUUGACAGUGGGACAGUCUGCUAACUUCUGCCCCCACCAACCAAGCCUGACAGAACCCAGUGAUAGCUAGGAGUUCCCCAAAUGAGGACAAAGAUUUGGGAGCAGUGCAGCGUGCCUCUGCACUCCAGGUCUUCCUCUUCACCCCCUACUUGGAGGCAGACACAAUUCCAGGCCGCACCAGAGCCUGGCCCCUCCCACCAGGCGCUUUGCUCCUUCUGUCCCAGCGUCUCCUUCCUCUGCAUCUCCACACCUUUCUUCUGUUCAAAGUCUUCUGUAAAAUUUUCUUUCCUUCUUUGUUCUUUUCUUUUUCCUUUUUUUUUUAUAAAUUAAUUUGCUUUCAGUUCCAUCUUGUGGGUGCCUCUGUGUUCUCUUAGCUGUGGCUGCUAGGCAGGGAGCAGAUUGGGCUGGGGCAGCCUUCCUGGAGUCCCUCACUGGACAUUCACCAGGGUUGCAGAGGCCCACAGCCAUCAGCCUCUUGCCACAAGAGGCCACACAGCAGUCAGGAAGGCAGCAGCGGCAGCAGCAGCAGGAGCAGCAGCUGUCACCUACUCAAGAUUGAGCUCCGGGAAGCACAUCCCUACAGCGUGGACCUGAAUCCUUUUAAACAUGGCUGCAUUCCUUCCCUUAUUAGGGAGGAGGCAGGCCUACACCUACUUCUGUUGCUAUUGGCCCCUAGCCCUGCAGCAGACAAGACAGGCUCUGGCAGCACUAAUAUGUCCUGGCAUUUUAGCUUCAGUAAACAUUCACAGGCUUUCCCAC